RNAcentral lists this ribosomal RNA (436 nucleotides) under uncultured bacterium. RNAcentral's name for it is "bacterial SSU rRNA". It matches the Rfam family "Bacterial small subunit ribosomal RNA", at positions 18 to 502 of the family's 1533-position model. The record is from RNAcentral.
CCUGGCUCAGAACGAACGCUGGCGGCAGGCUUAACACAUGCAAGUCGAGCGCCCCGCAAGGGGAGCGGCAGACGGGUGAGUAACGCGUGGGAACGUACCCUUUACUACGGAAUAACGCAGGGAAACUUGUGCUAAUACCGUAUGUGCCCUUCGGGGGAAAGAUUUAUCGGUAAGGGAUCGGCCCGCGUUGGAUUAGCUAGUUGGUGGGGUAAAGGCCUACCAAGGCGACGAUCCAUAGCUGGUCUGAGAGGAUGAUCGGCCACAUUGGGACUGAGACACGGCCCAAACUCCUACGGGAGGCAGCAGUGGGGAAUAUUGGACAAUGGGCGCAAGCCUGAUCCAGCCAUGCCGCGUGAGUGAUGAAGGCCCUAGGGUUGUAAAGCUCUUCCACCGGAGAAGAUAAUGACGGUAUCCGGAGAAGAAGCCCCGGCUAACU